RNAcentral lists this ribosomal RNA (515 nucleotides) under uncultured bacterium. RNAcentral's name for it is "bacterial SSU rRNA". It matches the Rfam family "Bacterial small subunit ribosomal RNA", at positions 19 to 518 of the family's 1533-position model. The record is from RNAcentral.
CUGGCUCAGAUUGAACGCUGGCGGCGUGCUAACACAUGCAAGUCGCGCGUGAAAGGACUUGGUCCGAGUAAAGCGGCGCACGGGUGAGUAACGCGUGGAUGAUCUACCCAUGAGUUAGGAAUAACGGCUGGAAACGGUCGCUAAUACCAAAUACGCUCCGAUUUCAACUUCGGGGGGAAAGGUGGCCUCUGCUUGCAAGCUACUGCUCAUGGAUGAGUCCGCGUCCCAUUAGCUAGUUGGUGGGGUAACGGCCCACCAAGGCGACGAUGGGUAGCCGGUCUGAGAGGAUGACCGGCCACACUGGGACUGGAACACGGCCCAGACUCCUACGGGAGGCAGCAGUGGGGAAUAUUGCGCAAUGGGCGAAAGCCUGACGCAGCGACGCCGCGUGAGGGAUGAAAGGGUCUUCGGAUCGUAAACCUCUGUCAGGAGGGAAGAACCGCCACGGUGCUAAUCAGCCGUGGUCUGACGGUACCUCCAAAGGAAGCACCGGCUAACUCCGUGCCAGCAGCUGC